GGGCAGUAAAAAAAGAAAUGAGUGAAGAGUCCCUGGUCACAUUAUUUGGGGAUUUGGCAACAGCAGACCAAAGAGAAUAAGACCCUCAUGACAUCAUAAUGUGUAUCCAGAGAUAAUUUCACCGUUUCAUGUUCCUGAUGUCACAGCUGCUAAUAGCUUCAGUUGUUAGGAGGGACGCAGACACCAUGAAUGAAAAAUGUCCAGAGAGGAAGGGUGUAGCCUGACACCAGUGGCUAAAGUGGAAAGCGCGGCAGAAGUCAGAUCCCAAGCAAACCUGGGAGCAGAAAAUGGGAGAAAGGAGCAGAGGAAUAUGCGCGGGUUAGAUGAACUCUUGGCAGAACCGGCGGUGUUCCGCUAAUCUGAACAACCUUCACCAAAGGGCCAUCCGAGUCCACCAGUGCCAGCCCCGGCUCCCCUGAGACCUACUGGAGAGAAAUUUCUACAGGCAGAAAAUCUAAGCGAUGAGGCUCUUCUCCGCUC
RNAcentral lists this long non-coding RNA (480 nucleotides) under Mustela putorius furo (domestic ferret). Its description in RNAcentral is "lncRNA (ENSMPUG00000028437.1)". The record is from RNAcentral. Lineage: Eukaryota; Metazoa; Chordata; Mammalia; Carnivora; Mustelidae.